Molecule: ribosomal RNA, 581 nt
Filed under: Shewanella sp. PRB4
Lineage: Bacteria; Pseudomonadati; Pseudomonadota; Gammaproteobacteria; Alteromonadales; Shewanellaceae
Description: bacterial SSU rRNA
Rfam family: Bacterial small subunit ribosomal RNA
Source: RNAcentral
GAGUUUACUCCUGAGGUGGCGAGCGGCGGACGGGUGAGUAAUGCCUAGGGAUCUGCCCAGUCGAGGGGGAUAACAGUUGGAAACGACUGCUAAUACCGCAUACGCCCUACGGGGGAAAGGGGGGGACUUUCGGGCCUCUCGCGAUUGGAUGAACCUAGGUGGGAUUAGCUAGUUGGUGAGGUAAUGGCUCACCAAGGCGACGAUCCCUAGCUGUUCUGAGAGGAUGAUCAGCCACACUGGGACUGAGACACGGCCCAGACUCCUACGGGAGGCAGCAGUGGGGAAUAUUGCACAAUGGGGGAAACCCUGAUGCAGCCAUGCCGCGUGUGUGAAGAAGGCCUUCGGGUUGUAAAGCACUUUCAGUAGGGAGGAAAGGUUGUAAGUUAAUACCUUGCAGCUGUGACGUUACCUACAGAAGAAGGACCGGCUAACUCCGUGCCAGCAGCCGCGGUAAUACGGAGGGUCCAAGCGUUAAUCGGAAUUACUGGGCGUAAAGCGUGCGCAGGCGGUUUGUUAAGCGAGAUGUGAAAGCCCCGGGCUCAACCUGGGAAUUGCAUUUCGAACUGGCAAACUAGAGUCUU